AACACAGUAAAGAAAUAUAGACAUCAGAAACAUCAGAUAGGUCCGACCUCCGUGUUUUGCUAUAUAUCUUUAAACAUUGCAGUUACGGCUGAAAAUGACAAUAGAAAU
Etheostoma cragini (Arkansas darter) is the source of this 108-nucleotide long non-coding RNA. RefSeq lists it as uncharacterized. The record is from RefSeq and is a predicted model, not a curated record. Lineage: Eukaryota; Metazoa; Chordata; Actinopteri; Perciformes; Percidae. The transcript is spliced from 3 exons.